Molecule: transfer RNA, 72 nt
Filed under: Urnula craterium
Lineage: Eukaryota; Fungi; Ascomycota; Pezizomycetes; Pezizales; Sarcosomataceae
Description: tRNA-Ile
Rfam family: tRNA
About the family: Transfer RNA (tRNA) molecules are approximately 80 nucleotides in length. Their secondary structure includes four short double-helical elements and three loops (D, anti-codon, and T loops). Further hydrogen bonds mediate the characteristic L-shaped molecular structure. tRNAs have two regions of fundamental functional importance: the anti-codon, which is responsible for specific mRNA codon recognition, and the 3' end, to which the tRNAs corresponding amino acid is attached (by aminoacyl-tRNA synthetases). tRNAs cope with the degeneracy of the genetic code in two manners: having more than one tRNA (with a specific anti-codon) for a particular amino acid; and 'wobble' base-pairing, i.e. permitting non-standard base-pairing at the 3rd anti-codon position.
Source: RNAcentral
GGUUUUAUAACUUAAUUGGUAAAGUGUAUUCUUGAUGAGAAUAUUUUUCAAGUUCAAGUCUUGAUUGAACCA